UAGGGAAUCUUCCGCAAUGGGCGAAAGCCUGACGGAGCAACGCCGCGUGAGUGAUGAAGGUCUUCGGAUCGUAAAACUCUGUUAUUAGGGAAGAACAAAUGUGUAAGUAACUAUGCACGUCUUGACGGUACCUAAUCAGAAAGCCACGGCUAACUACGUGCCAGCAGCCGCGGUAAUACGUAGGUGGCAAGCGUUAUCCGGAAUUAUUGGGCGUAAAGCGCGCGUAGGCGGUUUUUUAAGUCUGAUGUGAAAGCCCACGGCUCAACCGUGGAGGGUCAUUGGAAACUGGAAAACUUGAGUGCAGAAGAGGAAAGUGGAAUUCCAUGUGUAGCGGUGAAAUGCGCAGAGAUAUGGAGGAACACCAGUGCCGAAGGCGACUUUCUGGUCUGUAACUGACGCUGAUGUGCGAAAGCGUGGGGAUCAAACAGG
This 429-nucleotide ribosomal RNA is filed under the name Actinomycetes bacterium. RNAcentral describes it as "Actinobacteria bacterium partial 16S ribosomal RNA". It matches the Rfam family "Bacterial small subunit ribosomal RNA", at positions 355 to 776 of the family's 1533-position model. The record is from RNAcentral. Lineage: Bacteria; Bacillati; Actinomycetota; Actinomycetes.